RNAcentral lists this ribosomal RNA (296 nucleotides) under uncultured bacterium. Its description in RNAcentral is "partial 16S ribosomal RNA". It matches the Rfam family "Bacterial small subunit ribosomal RNA", at positions 334 to 627 of the family's 1533-position model. The record is from RNAcentral.
CUUGCCUACGGGGCGCAGCAGUGGGGAAUAUUGGUCAAUGGGCGGGAGCCUGAACCAGCCAAGUCGCGUGAGGGAAGACGGUCCUAUGGAUUGUAAACCUCUUUUGUCGGGGAGCAAAGAGAUCACGUGUGGUCAAAAGCGAGAGUACCCGAAGAAAAAGCAUCGGCUGACUCCGUGCCAGCAGCCGCGGUAAUACGGAGGAUGCGAGCGUUAUCCGGAUUUAUUGGGUUUAAAGGGUGUGUAGGCGGGACGGUAAGUCAGCGGUAAAAAUGCGGAGCUCAACUCCGUCGAGCCGU